GGCGGCUCAGGCCGGCCGGGCCGGGACGUGGCCGCCGCCCGCGAUGACGAAGCCGUAUUCGUAGGCCAGGAUCACGGCCUGGGUGCGGUUGC
RNAcentral lists this transfer RNA (92 nucleotides) under Streptomyces griseocarneus. RNAcentral's name for it is "tRNA-Gly". Lineage: Bacteria; Bacillati; Actinomycetota; Actinomycetes; Kitasatosporales; Streptomycetaceae. The record is from RNAcentral.